UGAGGAAUUUUGCGCAAUGGGGGAAACCCUGACGCAGCAACGCCGCGUGAGUGAUGAAGGCUUUUGGGUCGUAAAGCUCUGUCAAGUGGGAAGAACCCACAUGGUAUUAAUACCACCAUGUGUUGACGGUACCACUGAAGGAAGCACCGGCUAACUCCGUGCCAGCAGCCGCGGUAAUACGGGGGGUGCAAGCGUUAUUCGGAAUUACUGGGCGUAAAGAGCGCGUAGGCGGUCCUUUAAGUCAGCUGUGAAAGCCCGGGGCUUAACCCCGGAAGUGCACUUGAAACUAAGGGACUUGAGUAUGGGAGAGGGAAGUGGAAUUCCUGGUGUAGCGGUGAAAUGCGUAGAUAUCAGGAGGAACAUCGGUGGCGAAGGCGACUUCCUGGACCAAUACUGACGCUGAGGCGCGAAGGCGUGGGGAGCAAACAGGAUUAGAUACCCUGGUAGUCCACGCAGUAAACGGUGAUCACUAGGUGUAGCGGGUAUUGACCCCUGCUGUGCCGCAGCAAACGCAUUAAGUGAUCCGCCUGGGGAGUACGACCGCAAGGUUA
RNAcentral lists this ribosomal RNA (551 nucleotides) under uncultured bacterium. RNAcentral describes it as "bacterial SSU rRNA". It matches the Rfam family "Bacterial small subunit ribosomal RNA", at positions 355 to 896 of the family's 1533-position model. The record is from RNAcentral.